UAAAAAACUCUUUCUGUGGUCCUUAAAAGGCGUAGUGCGAAUAUUCAACUUCAUAAUUACAGCGGGACUCUGAAGCCGCACAGCUUUUUGGUCGCCUACUUCAAAGUUGUGAGACAUGGACGGCUUCCUUGCCAAGUACCUUGCUAUAGGGCUUGCUAGUGCACUCGUUGCGCUGAUCAUUGUCCCCUACAGCGCUGAAGCGGUUCCUCCAGGCGUAAUCGAAGCUGCAGUCGCUGCGCUUAGAGACUUUUUUGGAAGGGACGAGAAAAAAUCCGAGGAGUAAGGUGUUCGUCAAUGUGUAUCCUGCAGUGCGUGAAAGCCCAAGCCUCAUAAAAUUCAAUUAAUUCAACGAAGCAACAAACUGGUGUAGACAAAAUAAAUAUAUCAGAAACAUUGGUUACCGCA
Molecule: long non-coding RNA, 405 nt
Organism: Rhipicephalus microplus (southern cattle tick)
Lineage: Eukaryota; Metazoa; Arthropoda; Arachnida; Ixodida; Ixodidae
Source: RefSeq, a predicted model, not a curated record